AUCAUCGGUGUGGUCCUCAUUCGAUCCCCAAUUCGCUCCAACAAACCCUAACCGCAUAGUGCAUCUCAAUCGACCCCCAAAUUGAACCAAGACACCCUAGCUAGCUGGUAAAGAUGGCAGAUGCAGUUGUUGAUUCGGUCACCCUGCUACUCGUGCCUUGCCCGGAUUGCGGCAGGAACGUCGUGACAUAUGUAGUUCGCCGCUGCCAGAACGGCGUCGAGCGUUUCUACAAGUGCCGCAGUCACAUCCCAGCACGUGGUGGAUGCGACUUCUAUAGGUGUCCGCAAGCUUACGCCGAGUCGCUUGCUGCUGCAGACCAAAGGUAAUGUAAGUUGCAGAGGUCUAUGCUUAUUAGCAGGGUUGGGAUUUUGCAGAGGAAAUUCGACUCCCCGUCUUUGUCUUGGAUGGCAAUUACAGUCGACUAGAACUGUCUUGGAUGGCAAUUACAGUCGACUAAAACUCGCUCUGUCUUAUCUGAAACGCACAAGCACACGCACACGCACACGCACACGCACCUCUUAUCAGGGAAAUAGCCAUAUUAAUUUAGGUGCAAGGCUCUGAGUGAAAUCAGGCUAUAUUAAUUCAGGUGCGACGGCGGCUCUACAAGUUUGCUUUCGGUAAAUAUGCCCUCUGAAAUUUACACAUAUGGUGAAUUAUGUUAGAAUAGGAAACCAAGUCUGCACUGGGUUUGGCAGCUUCUGGUGUUGGUCGAUGCAAUAAACAAUGGACACUGCUGGAAGGAAACCAAGAACAGGAAGUUUGCUCGAAUGAGCAAGCUAAGGGCUGCAAAUGUCCACAAGGCUUCAAGGGUGACGGCGUACACGGCUGCAAAGGCAUCACGAAUUUUCAUGACAAGGAUGAUGAAAGAGUAGAUGAUCAUCAGGAAGAAAACUUGGCAUUUUUCAGUACUAACACAAUUCAGGCAUGUUUGCAUGACAUUUAGGCAUGUUUGUAUGCUUUCAGUACUGUCACAGUUCACAUGAAAAUUGGCAGAAUGUAAAUUCACAUGGCACUCUGAAUGUAAAUUCACAUAGGCAGAUUCAUGGACCAUUUAAUCAUUUCAUCCCAAGUUCACUUAAUUUUUUUUUGCAUGGAAGUUCACUUAAUAAUCUGACAUUUCAAGUUAACCAAGUGAGGAUUUGACCCAAUCUGUCUUUUUGGUAAAUUCACAUGGAAGAGUAAGUCUUUUUGAUGCUAUAUUUAAACCUUCAGAUGGAACAGCUGAAGCUCAGAUUAUUGUUUAUCACAAGGGUUGUUCAAAACUGCAGUUAUCAUGCAAUUUGACUGAUUUUGUUACUCCCAUAGAGCAAAUGUGAAAUAGUGCAAGGGCCAAGGAAAACAGUGUCAUUGCUUGGGAAUGAUGUCAAGCCGGAGAGUGGUGUUUUUCUUCCACUUUCUCUAUUCUAUCUCGAAUAAAAGUUUCCAAAAAUUAUAUCGAUUGUUUCCAAAUACUCCUCACUGAUUGUUUCCAAAUACUCCUCACUGAUUGUUUCCAAAACUAUAUUGAUUAUUUCCAAAAACUCAUUGGUUGAUUGUUUUUCAAGAAUCUUUCAUUGUAUCCAAACACUAUAUUGGUAGUUCCGAAAAACUCCUCACUGAUUGAUUGUUUUCCAGGAGUACCUACAAGAGGCAGGGUGAGGAAGGAGCAACUGUUGGAGUCACAAUAACAACAGUGGCGAUGGUGGGGAAGGAUCGAUUCCGCCACUCAGGUGGCGCGAUUCUGCCACUCAGGUGGCGAUUCCAUCGGCAAUGCUGCUAGCUCGAUCUACGGGGUGGCGAUUCUGCCACUCAGAUGGCCGGCGGCUGCAGCGGGCGAUGGAACUAGAAGAUUGAUCGCGUAGGUGGGUGGCGCCGCAGAUGGGCGCCAAAAUCGUGCUGGUGGGCGGCGGCUGCCCCCUUGCGAUGGCGCAGGCGACGGAUGGAGGAAGAAGCAGACGGGGACCUAUUUCAAACAGUCUUGGAAGUACGAGUCCUUGUUUUUUUUGCUAAAAUGCAGUCCACUAGGUGCGCGACAAUCUUUUUUGGACGGAUGGGUUAUUAUCUUGUGAAAUUCUGACCUGAAUUCCCUGUGCUUUGUGUAAA
This is a long non-coding RNA of Triticum aestivum (bread wheat), 2082 nucleotides long. RefSeq lists it as uncharacterized. The record is from RefSeq and is a predicted model, not a curated record. Lineage: Eukaryota; Viridiplantae; Streptophyta; Magnoliopsida; Poales; Poaceae. The transcript has 4 exons.